CUAGCAGACAAUUAAAGGUAAAGGUUGGCGACAGAACUGCAGUUGUCACAGCUAAUGCAGAGACUGUGGCUGUUCAGCCUGUUGGUAUUCAAGAAGCCAUUAAUGCUGAAAUAGCAAAAUAUCCCCGAGGACGAUGUUUCAUUAGACCUUCUGGGACUGAGGAUGUUGUAAGAGUAUAUGCUGAAGCAACCACCCAGGAUGCUGCAGAUGCACUAGCCUCUUCAGUUGCAAGACUUGUGGAUCAGUAUCUCGGUUCUGGCUCUGCUUGAUUGAACUCACUAACAAAAUCGUACUCCG
Molecule: unclassified non-coding RNA, 297 nt
Filed under: Hevea brasiliensis (rubber tree)
Lineage: Eukaryota; Viridiplantae; Streptophyta; Magnoliopsida; Malpighiales; Euphorbiaceae
Source: RNAcentral